Molecule: ribosomal RNA, 548 nt
Filed under: uncultured Glomus
Lineage: Eukaryota; Fungi; Glomeromycota; Glomeromycetes; Glomerales; Glomeraceae
Also listed under: 1 other name
Description: SSU rRNA
Rfam family: Eukaryotic small subunit ribosomal RNA
Source: RNAcentral
UUGGAGGGCAAGUCUGGUGCCAGCAGCCGCGGUAAUUCCAGCUCCAAUAGCGUAUAUUAAAGUUGUUGCAGUUAAAAAGCUCGUAGUUGAAUUUCGGGACCAAUUUGUUGGUCGUGCCUCGGUACGUACUGGUAUUAUUGGUUUCUCCCUUCUGAAGAACCUCGAUGCCAUUAAUUUGGUGUCGUGGGGAAUCAGGACUGUUACUUUGAAAAAAUUAGAGUGUUUAAAGCAAGCAUACGCUUGAAUACAUUAGCAUGGAAUAAUGAAAUAGGACGUUUGAUUCUAUUUUGUUGGUUUCUAGGAUCGACGUAAUGAUUAAUAGGGAUAGUUGGGGGCAUUAGUAUUCAAUUGUCAGAGGUGAAAUUCUUGGAUUUAUUGAAGACUAACUACUGCGAAAGCAUUUGCCAAGGAUGUUUUCAUUAAUCAAGAACGAAAGUUAGGGGAUCGAAGACGAUCAGAUACCGUCGUAGUCUUAACCAUAAACUAUGCCGACUAGGGAUCGGAUGAUGUUAAUUUUUUAAUGACUCAUUCGGCGCCUUACGGGAAAC